Molecule: long non-coding RNA, 1038 nt
Organism: Caretta caretta (loggerhead turtle)
Lineage: Eukaryota; Metazoa; Chordata; Testudines; Cheloniidae
Source: RefSeq, a predicted model, not a curated record
CCGGCCCGGGGCUUGUUUAUUCCAUUUUCCUCUUCCUGAGCGGACGCCCCGCCACGCAUGCGCGGGAGAAGGGCGUUCUGGACUCAAAGAAAGUGUACCAUGUUACCAAUUUUCUUCGCUUGUAUUCCACCAGACAAGACAGGAGAGAGGCUGACUUGGCCACACUUCCGGCUUUAAAAUUAUGAAUUUGGUAACAAGUCUUCUGGAUGUGGGGAAGCAGUAGAUGUGAAGUAUCUUGACUUCAGUAAGGUUCUUGAUCCUGUCUCACUUGACCUUCUCAUAAGCAAACUGGAGUAAAAGCCUAGACCAGUAUUUCUCAAAUGCGGCCACAGUGGCCACAUGUGGCCACCAGGGACUUUUCUUACAGCCUCAGGCUCCUGGGUGGUGAUUGUGAGGUGCGGGGGGGAAGCAGCGGCCUCUCCCCUGGAGCCACCAGUGGGGGUUGGUCCCUGCCCCCUUCUGGAGCCACAAACACUGUAGGAGCAGGUGACCACUGUGAGCUCCCCACCUUCCUAGGGGCAGUGGGGCUUGGAUUUCGGGCUUCAGCCCUGGGGUGGUGGGCAGCAGGAUCUGGCCAUGCGACAGUUGGCUUCAUCCCCCAGCCCCAGGGCUUUGGGCCCUGGGCUCAUUCCCACCACAUCAUCCCUGGUCCCUGCUGCAUCUUCCAUCCCUCAGUUGUGCAGCAGGACCCCAGGAUCCAGCCCCAGACUCAUCCCCCACAUCCCCCGCUACCUCUUCCAGCCCCUCAUUGCCCCGGCCCUCCUUACCUACUUUCCCAUCCAGGGUUUAAUUUGUCUCCCAGCUUGCCAGGGAUGAGUAAGUCUGCUGUGAAAAGUGAUAUUAACAAAUAUCACUUUUCACCGUAGCAGACUUACUAGCUAGCAAAUUUUUUUAAAAAAUCAACCAAGAAGAGCAAAACACGCAAAGCACCUUAUUUGUGUUUCUAUUCUGUUUACAUCCAAUAAAGAUUAAAGACAACUGUACAUUCUUUUUAUUAUUGAAUCUGUAAAAAACCCCUACAUAAAUAAAUUGCUAUGA